Oryzias latipes (Japanese medaka) is the source of this 2504-nucleotide RNA transcript. RefSeq lists it as uncharacterized. NCBI's taxonomy places the organism in Eukaryota, Metazoa, Chordata, Actinopteri, Beloniformes, Adrianichthyidae. The record is from RefSeq and is a predicted model, not a curated record.
UACCAUAACACUGUAACUAUGGAGACGUGGUUAAGGCACAGCAGCCAUGCUGCUGAAAGUACAGAUGGACAAAUGAAAAAGAAAACAAAACAAGUGGCGACGAAGGCCAGAAAGUACAUGGAAGAAUAUGUUUUAAAGGGAUUUACGUCCACGAGCUCUGACCCACCCCAGGCACUGUGGGGUUUUUUUUGCCGGCAGAAGUUAGCCAACGCUAGCAUGAAGCUAGCGCUCCUCCAGCGGCAUCUCACCACAAAACAUGGAUGUCACGUUGGUAAGGCACCAGAGUUCUUCAGGAGAAAACUUUCUGAUUUCAAGUCAUCCCAAGCCACAAUUAAAUGAUUAACGAUUUUUGUAAUGAUCACAUUAAAAAAUGUGCCUCUGUCUAAUAAUGACACCGUUUGCUGCAGAAUAGAUUGAUAUCAUGGGCACAGACAUUAUCGAACAAGUUGUGGGGGAAACUUGGCGACUCAUUUUCACUGCAGCUGGAUGAAAACACAGAUAAACGCUAUCAGCUGGAAAUCCUGCAGCAGCGUCUGGACAGAUGCGGCUGCAUCAAUGACGGGCAGCGCGAAAGGCCUCAUAGCACGGAUCAUUAAAAAAGAAAAUCCCGACAUCAAGUGGACGCACUGUGUGUGAUACACAGGGCAGUGCUGGCGUCCAAGAAAAUGAGCCCUGUGUAUCACGAUGUUUUGAACGACAGCAUUAAAGUUCUAAACUUUAUCAAGUCAAGGCCACUUAAUGCACGUUUGUUCCGCAGCCUCUGUGAAAAUACGGGAGCUUGCAAAGCUUUGCUAUCUGGCAGAUAUAUUCAGGAAACUGAAUGAACUGAACAUGUCCCUGCAGGGCAAGGACACCAGCAUCCUGAACCUGUAUGACAAGGUGGGUGGUUUCCUGAAGAAAGCAGAGAUGUGGAAAAGGGCACGUGAUCAGGAGGAUUUCACCUGCUUUCCUCAGUUGGAUGUGUUUCUCUCAAAUGAGGAUGUGGCGACAGCUCCGGUGAAGUUAGUCACAGUGGGACAUUUGGCUAACUUGCUCAGUGGUUUUCACUCCUACUUUACUGACAUUGAUGAGAAAUCUGUGCAGCUGGAUUGGGUGAGAAACCCAUUUCUCUUGUCUGAAGCAAACAGAAGCAAGCUUCACUGUCACUCAUCAGGAAAAACUGAUGGAAGUAGCAUCUGACCGUGGCCUGCAGAUGAAGUUUGGUGCAUCCACUCUCACACAGUUUUGGCUGUGUGUGAGGCAGGAGCACCCUGAGCUGGGACAGAAAGCUUUGGAGCAGCUGCUACCGUUUGCAUUAGGGCUGGGAAUCACUGGGUACCUCACGAUACGAUACGAUUAAAUACGAUUUUUGUUAUUCAUGUAUAUUUCUUAUUUUAUGUAUUAUUAACAGCAUUUUUACAUUUGAGUUUUGACUGGUUUUAUGCCUUCUGGUGGUCAACGUCUUCUGUUUUUCUUUUUUGUUUGUACAUGCAAUGUUUGCCAUCUGAAUCUUUUUGUCUGGUUCACUGUUGUUUGGCUUGAAUAAAUCUGACUUUACAGCACUGUACCUCCUUUUUCUUCCAAAAAUGUUUUGCCCAUGUCAGGGGGUACUUGACUAAAAAUAUAUUUCUAAAGGAGUACAACACAGAAGGAAGUUUGAGAACCACUAGUCUAACAGACAACAUCAAUGCCCAAAUGAUGUCACCAAUGGCAGUCUGCACCUGGGUCGGGUUCACCAUUUUGCUGAUUCCUGCCAGUGAAUCCAAUUCAGGUUCGUUGAGAAAAACAAUGACUGUUAUUCUGUUGAGGAUAGUUUUUCCUAUAGUUGUAGAGUUGACCUUACUCCUUUAUUCGGGCUUGGGACCGGCAAAGUGAUUGUAAAGUCACUCUGGUAGAGUUCAUUUUUCUUUUUUUUUCUUUCCAAAGACUAUAGAAUUUUCCGGACAAUAGCUAUACUUGUCGGUGUUUACAAUGACUUUAUAAAGCCAUUGGUGACAUCAUUUGACCUUGAUGAUGUGUGUUAGAGCAUACGUCAUGUUGUUGAUUGGUUGUUGUUGUUUUUUUAAUCAUUGGGAGUGAAUUUUAAUUUUCAUGAAAACAAAAGUUGAUAACGAAGAAGCCACACAGUGAUCACAGAGGCCCAUGUCAAUAUUAUAAAGACAUUUGGGAUAUUUUUGGAUCUGGCAGCGACUGAUCUAGAAUUUAGCAGAGAUUAAUCUUCUUUUUUUUUUAAUCAAAACCUCAAUUUUUAAGUUAUUUUUUAAUUUAGUGCUCAUAAUUUUUAUUUCUGGAAACAUGUAUGAAAUAUUGUUCAGUUUGUUUGUCUAUUUGUCUUUAAUUGCUCCCAGAGCAGAUGCUUUUUAUUGAGCUAUGGGAGACGCACAGAUGUAGUUUCAGACUGUUUUUAACGUAAACAAAGGCUGUAAUUCUCAGAAAUAAUGUUAAUACAUUGCCAACAACGUAGAAGUUUUCUGAGGAAUUCACAAUAAAGUGACUUGAUUGAUUUUUUUUCUAAACUCAACAGC